RNAcentral lists this long non-coding RNA (787 nucleotides) under Theobroma cacao (cacao). RNAcentral describes it as "long non-coding RNA (TCAC_LNC004788)". Lineage: Eukaryota; Viridiplantae; Streptophyta; Magnoliopsida; Malvales; Malvaceae. The record is from RNAcentral.
GCGAGUAAAAUGGAGGCAAAUUUAAACAACAAAUUUCAACCCAUUUCAUAAUGUUUUCAAUUUAUUUCUUAAACCAUAAAAUAUUUGUAAUUUACCAAAACAGUUGUUAAGGCUUAUGUCUUUUAUUAAAACAAGGCUCAAGCCAAAACUAAUCCUCGGGGAUACCUUGGCCGAGGUAUCUAACCGAGUCCGCCAAGGGUGUUAAAAUAUUCACACGUGAAACACAUAUUUUUUUUUUUAAACCAGCCGUUCCUUGGCGUUGGCCGAGUUACACAUUCACGUGGGGGUUCGACGUGAAGUGAGCUCUAAUACUACCCCGGGAGUUACCCUCCUCGCCUCUACAACCAGAGUAACUAUAUAACUGGGUUUAUCGUGCCCCUCUAAUAGGCAGUCCACGGAAACCCGUCACUGCAGUGACUAACCCACCAAUUUUAAUAAAAUUUUGACAGUAUAACGUGGCUUUUAUUUAUUUAUCCAGCCUGCAUAGUAAAAUCAACUUACAUAAAUUUCCCAAAUGCACUCACAAAAUAUAGCCACAUAUACUCAUUUCUCAUAAGCCAUUCCUAGGAAAAUAUAUAUUUUUCAAGUCAAUUUGCAGCCUCCAAUUACUCAAUUUCAUAAUCAAUACAAUAUAUUUUUAUUUGUCACAUUUAUUCCUAAAACAUCAAAAAUCCCGUUUUAAUCUCGUUCUCAUUUCAUAAAAUACAUAAAGGGCAUUUAAAAUAAACUCUAGAUAAUUUACAAUAAUAAUAAGUUUACUCACCGUUUGUACAAACUAAAAGCUUUC